Long non-coding RNA from Solea solea (common sole), 311 nucleotides. RefSeq lists it as uncharacterized. The record is from RefSeq and is a predicted model, not a curated record. The transcript has 3 exons. NCBI's taxonomy places the organism in Eukaryota, Metazoa, Chordata, Actinopteri, Pleuronectiformes, Soleidae.
UGAGGUGAAACUUUGGUCUAAAAAAAAAAAAAGAUGAAGUGAACACAUAAAUAAAACAUAAAAACACAGGUGAAGCUUGUUUGCAGCUACCUUGUUUGAGUGCUACAUACAGGAGGGACACCACAGGACGCCAAGCUGGACUUAAUGACACGGGGAACCUCAUCUCCAUUAAACAACAACAAGAGGACGACAGAAAUCUGCUGUGUUGCUGUAGAACCUCAUCUCCAUUAAAGAUCAACAAGAGGGCGACAGAAAUCUGCUGUGUUGCUGUGGAACCUCAUCUCCAUUAAAGACAAACAAAAGGGCGACAG